This 244-nucleotide unclassified non-coding RNA is filed under the name Hevea brasiliensis (rubber tree). Lineage: Eukaryota; Viridiplantae; Streptophyta; Magnoliopsida; Malpighiales; Euphorbiaceae. The record is from RNAcentral.
AAGCCUAAUAAUUAAUCGUCCCACUUCUAUUUUCUUUAUAUUAUUUUAUCUAUGUAAUUGCAUGUGAGAGUUAUUAAUUUAUUAAUUUAUCAAAAUAUAAAAAAUAUUUUAUCUCUUUUCAUGGCAAUGAAGUUAGAAAAAUUAAGAUGUUAAUUAAUAAAGAAAAAGAAUUAUAUAUAUACAUAUAUAUUAAUAUAUGUAUACCUUCAAAUCCUUUCAAUGCUCUAGCAACUUUUCUUGCACA